This 419-nucleotide non-coding RNA is filed under the name Chlamydomonas applanata. The record is from RNAcentral. Lineage: Eukaryota; Viridiplantae; Chlorophyta; Chlorophyceae; Chlamydomonadales; Chlamydomonadaceae.
ACGCCUCUUCCGCCUCGUGUGCUGGUCCAUAGACUAUGCACCGCUCAGGGUGGCUCGUCUCUACACCGCCCUCAUAACCCUAAAUGCAAGGAGUUGGCGCUCCCCUCGCUGCUCCCCCAUGGCAGUGAGCCUUCUACGGGGCCUUCAGCUUGAGCUUCGCCCCUGCAGCACUCUCUGAGGCUGGCUGCCUCACAGCAGCCAGUCUCAAAGGGUGGCUGCUCAACAGUAAGCCCAUCAGCAUGGGCUGGGACCCAGCACACAACCCAAAUGGAUGUGACCCACACGGCCCCUGGUGCCGAGGGGGGCCGGCAGUGCAGCGCGCGCACAGCGGAGGCUGCAGCAAUGGUUCGGCCAUGUGCCGUGCCCGAGUCCGGGCACUGGAUGGCCGUGUGGGCACUCGCGGGAGAGGUUGCAUAUUG